GAUAUCAGCCAGAUCAAGACCCGUCUGAGCAGAAUAGAGGACGUCGUCCGUCGUUCACCUUUGUCAGUGCUGGAAUGCUAGAUUCAGAUCACGCCUAUACAGUGGGUGAAGAGAGUGACAGCGACCGCGAGCUGGAGUCGUGGAUAAAAUUGUGCGUACCAGGGACCUGGAAGGCCUAAAAAGAUCAUCACGGUCGCUCUACUUGAAGAGUAAUAUUUUUCUUGUUUU
This 228-nucleotide long non-coding RNA is filed under the name Lathyrus oleraceus (garden pea). Its description in RNAcentral is "Pisum sativum (pea) long non-coding RNA (PSAT_LNC037212)". The record is from RNAcentral. Lineage: Eukaryota; Viridiplantae; Streptophyta; Magnoliopsida; Fabales; Fabaceae.